Molecule: RNA transcript, 2084 nt
Organism: Brassica rapa (field mustard)
Lineage: Eukaryota; Viridiplantae; Streptophyta; Magnoliopsida; Brassicales; Brassicaceae
Source: RefSeq, a predicted model, not a curated record
GUGUGUCCCAUUCUAAAUCGUUAGCUGUCUCGGCUUGACUAAGAUGCAUGUUAUCUAACUUGACCAAGAAAACUAAAAACCACAGUCUGGUUAUGGUUAUCAGCCACUUUCAAACAAAACAGUUUCUACGCAUGGAUUGUGUUAACCAACAAAUCUGAACGGCAGCGUAAUUGCUAAUCGAGGUAAUUAAUUAGAAAGAUUAGUUUUCUACAAAAAAAAAUGACAAAUGUAUAUAACAAAGGCAAUUCCAAACCAUAACUUGACCGGAGCCUUUAUCUAUCUAUCUAUCUAUCUAUAAUAAUAAAGGAAGUUUUCUCUCACCUUAGCCCUCCACAUCAGCAGGAAGAUAGGGGCUUCUGACGCCAAGUGGCAUCUAAAUCAGAUACUCCGGUUUGCGCUGUUAUUUACGUGUCGGGCUUUUCCAUUGUUUUUUAAUUUUGUUGCAUGUUAAUUUCGUUUGGGCUUUAUGCAUAAAUCUUAAGCCCAUACAAAUUAGGUUUCCUCAUCUUCUCGCCUUCUGCCUUCUUAGUUUAGCAGCCGUAAUUUCAGCUCACUGUAACGUCUCUAUCUUCCAUUAAUAUGUACUUUACUCUGAUCUUUAACAUGAUUAACCCAGUCUUUCCACUCUGAAGCUUUCAGUCCAACUCUUUGCAUUCUAAAGUAACAGUUAAGCAACAAGUAUAAAUAUCUUAUUCACUCUGCGAUGAACAGCACAACUUUUCAUUGACAUCGAGAAAGAAAGUUUGUUCAGGUUAUCGAUUACGACAAUGGCGCUGCUCCAACAAUGAAGAGGCUAUUCAACACGUGAGCUGGACCAUCACUGAGUUUUCCUUCUCGGUGUGCGAGAUAUGCAAGAAAAGUAUCAGGUAAUGGAGUUUCAGCAAAGGAAAUGUUGCGUGAUAUUAGAGCUUUCAAGCAAUCUCCCAAGGGUCUUAGAGGUUUGCACUUCUGCAAUACCACAAGCAUUUCUUGAUGGGACGGACACAAAUCCUUCCAGGCUCGCUGAGGAAGGUACAAAUGUCCCUGAAGUAGCGCUGCCUGAAGUUGUGGUACCAGGAAGAGAUGACAAAGAUGGUCUAAUGCUUCCAGUGCCGGACGUUCUGCAACGACCAAACACCAAAGAACAACUUGCUAUUGCUUUAUUAUCUUUUCCAUUUUCGUUUAAAUCUAUUUUCUUUUUGUUUCAAAAAUUAAUGUUGUUGUUGUUGUUUCAAUUACUAACAAUGGCACAAACUGCCUUAUUCCUCUGAGAUAGAACUUGACUUAUCACUUCGGUUUUCUGUUUGUGUUUGACGACCUUAAUGUACCUAAUGGAAUUGAUUAUUUGACCGCUCAUGUUGAACCAGGUACUAAGUUGGAAUUUUUCAUGAGUUUUGCUUCCACUUUGUCUCAUGAGACAGACAAUUCUCUCAUGUGACUUUCUCUUUUUGGGAAAUCCUUUGAAAGCUUGAUGUUCGCAUUGUUUGCUUUCUCAUUUUUUUUUGCCUUUGUUUGCUUUCUUUACAAUUCUAGAUUUUAGUACAACUCUAUUAUAACAACAAUUUUGUUUCACUUAGACUCAUAUAAAUAAUUUCCUGUUAGUUUUCCUUCUCUGUAGUUUGACAACAUAAAAGUGUGCACUUGCAAGAACAAUUACGGACUUAUGACUCUAAUUACUCACACUUCUUAAAAACACUCAUGGUUGUGACUUUUAUUACAUACAUUAUGUAUUUGUAGACAGCCUGCACUUUACGUAUCAGCGAGUGUUGCUAUAAACUGCAAACCUUUGUAGAUUGAGACUCUAAGCUUCUCAAGGAUUAGUCUGUUCAAUAAGAUAUAUGAAUCUUACAUUUAUUCACGUUAACUUGCAUGAGUACUUUUUACAGCUUUACCUAAACGCCAUCAAUUUACGUUAUUAAAACCAUAUAGAAAAUCAGCAAGAUUACCUGGCCGACAUUUAAAGAGAAAAAUAUUACAACAAAGUCGUCGUAAGUACUUGGUCUUUAAACUAUGGUUUUGUGAGUAUCAAUCAAUUUUAUUUGACAUUGUCAAAGUCCAAAGAAAUAUUAAAAUGUGUUCUACUUAUUAUAAAAAUUAAAACAGAA